Molecule: non-coding RNA, 72 nt
Organism: Caerostris extrusa
Lineage: Eukaryota; Metazoa; Arthropoda; Arachnida; Araneae; Araneidae
Source: the annotation of a GenBank genome assembly
AGCAGAGUGGCACAGUGGAAGCGUGCUGGCACUGUAAAUCAGAGGUCCGUGGAUCGAAACCACGCUCUCCUA